AGCAGCCGCGGUAAUUCCAGCUCCAAUAGCGUAUAUUAAAGUUGUUGCAGUUAAAAAGCUCGUAGUUGAAUUUCGGGGUCAGUAGAUUGGUCGUGCCACUGGUAUGUACUGGUCUUACUGGCUCCUCCUUCCUGAUGAACCGUAAUGCCAUUAAUUUGGUGUUGCGGGGAGACUGGACUGUUACCUUGAAAAAAAUUAGAGUGUUUAAAGCAGGCUAACGCUUGAAUACAUUAGCAUGGAAUAAUGAAAUAGGACGUUCGAUCUUAUUUUGUUGGUUUCUAGGAUUGACGUAAUGAUUAAUAGGGAUAGUUGGGGGCAUUAGUAUUCAAUUGUCAGAGGUGAAAUUCUUGGAUUUAUUGAAGACUAACUACUGCGAAAGCAUUUGCCAAGGAUGUUUUCAUUAAUCAAGAACGAAAGUUAGGGGAUCAAAGACGAUCAGAUACCGUCGUA
RNAcentral lists this ribosomal RNA (450 nucleotides) under uncultured Glomeromycotina. Its description in RNAcentral is "SSU rRNA". It matches the Rfam family "Eukaryotic small subunit ribosomal RNA", at positions 569 to 1022 of the family's 1831-position model. Lineage: Eukaryota; Fungi; Glomeromycota. The record is from RNAcentral.